AUCGAUUCACAUUCAUUCAAAACGUUUAAAUCUGCCUCCACCUCCAUAAUAAUUGUGGUCCACCAACAAAAAUUGAUUAAUGCUGCCUAUUUCCACAGUAUUAUAAAAAAAAUUAGAAAAGUUUCUACAUACGCAUAAUCCUAACUACAAUUUCAUACGGAUUAUACGAUUCAAAAUGCGUACAGCGUUUGUCCAUGUUUUCAUUUAUGGAAAAUGGAGCACCCGGUGAGACUGCUCUAAGCUAAAACACAGCAGCUGCCAUUUCAACGCAGUUACCACAAACCACAAUUAAGCUAUCAUCGUCAGUAACUAAAAGACAACAUAGGAAUCAUACGAAACUACGAAGGCAUCUUCCCGCAACCAACGAAAGUGGAGUGCUUAGGCAUCAGGUUUCCGUCCGUCUAUAGGAGCAAGAUUCGCUGACAAUCCGAAGCCAUGCCCCAGAUAAUUAGACCGUACGACAUGUGGCUGUGCGCGUGCGCAAAAUAAAAUCUCCUCAAAGACUCAAAGAUGAGCAUAGCACAGCGAUGAAGACCUCUAUAAGUUAUUAAAUUGAGAAAAAUCAAAAUAAAUCAUUUUCAGAAGAUUCAGUUCGAGAAUGAACAAGAAGAUGUCUACUUACGCGAGUUGAAGUGAAUAAAAACAUUGCUUGAAGGAGGGGACUCGUCGAAUCGGUUGAAAAGCGACCACCGCUACUCCGUGCAACGUCAUACAUCUUUUCUCCUUGUGCCUUUAAUUAUAAAGAUAUUUUCAAACUAUACUCCUCGUGGGAUUCGUUAAGGCCGAUUCUCACUUUCGUGCAAAGAACCGGCUCGGCAACGGUACGGCACAGACUCGGCACGGGCAAAGUUUUUUGAGUUCAAUUCACACUGCGACACGCUUGCCGCAGGUAAGCAGUUUCUACGUGAGUUUCAACUG
Long non-coding RNA from Photinus pyralis (common eastern firefly), 918 nucleotides. RefSeq lists it as uncharacterized. The record is from RefSeq and is a predicted model, not a curated record. NCBI's taxonomy places the organism in Eukaryota, Metazoa, Arthropoda, Insecta, Coleoptera, Lampyridae. The transcript is spliced from 3 exons.